Molecule: long non-coding RNA, 463 nt
Organism: Phascolarctos cinereus (koala)
Lineage: Eukaryota; Metazoa; Chordata; Mammalia; Diprotodontia; Phascolarctidae
Source: RefSeq, a predicted model, not a curated record
GCCAGGGACCAACUUCGGGGAGAAGAUAUUUUUGAUUCCUCCACCAUAUGGGUGGUAACAGCCUCUUUCAAAUGGCUAUGCGGCCAGAACAGGCUGCAUCUUUAAAACAACCAGACUCAGUCACCCUUGCUGUCUUUCCAGAGACAUCUAGAAAAGUUUUAGGCACAGGAGGUAGAAUCUUCAGAUCAUUGAGCCCCAGCAAGCUUUCAGGCAGGAUUCAAGACCCAGCAGGGAUGUCCUGAGAUUUAAUCCCAAGGAGGAAAAUUAACUUGGCAGCUGUGUGGAAGAUGAAUUAGAGGAAAAAGUAAGUUGUAUAACAGCUCAUUCCAGAGGUAAUAAAGGCAUUACCAAAGGUACAACUGUGAGAGAUGUUACCAAGAUAGAAUCAAAGGCACUUGGUAAAUGAUUGAAUAAAGGGCUAAGAAGGGAUGUUAGGUGGGUAGAGCACUGGACCUAGAAUCAA